Molecule: ribosomal RNA, 24 nt
Filed under: Chrysotila roscoffensis
Lineage: Eukaryota; Haptophyta; Isochrysidales; Isochrysidaceae
Description: partial 28S ribosomal RNA
Source: RNAcentral
CAUCGCCAUCGAAUGAGGCAAGAU